AGCGGACAGAAGGGAGCUUGCUCCCGGAUGUUAGCGGCGGACGGGUGAGUAACACGUGGGUAACCUGCCUGUAAGACUGGGAUAACUCCGGGAGACCGGAGCUAAUACCGGAUAGUUCCUUGAACCGCAUGGUUCAAGGAUGAAAGACGGUUUCGGCUGUCACUUACAGAUGGACCCGCGGCGCAUUAGCUAGUUGGUGGGGUAAUGGCUCACCAAGGCGACGAUGCGUAGCCGACCUGAGAGGGUGAUCGGCCACACUGGGACUGAGACACGGCCCAGACUCCUACGGGAGGCAGCAGUAGGGAAUCUUCCGCAAUGGACGAAAGUCUGACGGAGCAACGCCGCGUGAGUGAUGAAGGUUUUCGGAUCGUAAAGCUCUGUUGUUAGGGAAGAACAAGUGCGAGAGUAACUGCUCGCACCUUGACGGUACCUAACCAGAAAGCCACGGCUAACUACGUGCCAGCAGCCGCGGUAAUACGUAGGUGGCAAGCGUUGUCCGGAAUUAUUGGGCGUAAAGGGCUCGCAGGCGGUUUCUUAAGUCUGAUGUGAAAGCCCCCGGCUCAACCGGGGAGGGUCAUUGGAAACUGGGAAACUUGAGUGCAGAAGAGGAGAGUGGAAUUCCACGUGUAGCGGUGAAAUGCGUAGAGAUGUGGAGGAACACCAGUGGCGAAGGCGACUCUCUGGUCUGUAACUGACGCUGAGGAGCGAAAGCGUGGGGGGCGAACAGGAUUAGAUACCCUGGUAGUCCACGCCGUAAACGAUGAGUGCUAAGUGUUAGGGGGUUUCCGCCCCUUAGUGCUGCAGCAAACGCAUUAAGCACUCCGCCUGGGGAGUACGGUCGCAAGACUGAAACUCAAAGGAAUUGACGGGGGCCCGCACAAGGGGUGGAGCAUGUGGUUUAAUUCGAAGCA
Molecule: ribosomal RNA, 911 nt
Filed under: Bacillus pumilus
Lineage: Bacteria; Bacillati; Bacillota; Bacilli; Caryophanales; Bacillaceae
Description: bacterial SSU rRNA
Rfam family: Bacterial small subunit ribosomal RNA
Source: RNAcentral